This 450-nucleotide ribosomal RNA is filed under the name uncultured bacterium. RNAcentral describes it as "partial 16S ribosomal RNA". It matches the Rfam family "Bacterial small subunit ribosomal RNA", at positions 354 to 796 of the family's 1533-position model. The record is from RNAcentral.
GUGGGGAAUCUUCCGCAAUGGACGAAAGUCUGACGGAGCAACGCCGCGUGAGUGAUGAAGGUCUUCGGAUUGUAAAGCUCUGUUAAUCGGGACGAAAGAGCCUAGUGUGAAUAACGCUAGGAAGUGACGGUACCGGAAUAGAAAGCCACGGCUAACUACGUGCCAGCAGCCGCGGUAAUACGUAGGUGGCAAGCGUUGUCCGGAAUUAUUGGGCGUAAAGCGCGCGCAGGCGGAUCUGCCAGUCUGGCUUAAAAGUUCGGGGCUUAACCCCGUGAUGGGAUGGAAACUACAGAUCUAGAGUAUCGGAGAGGAAAGUGGAAUUCCUAGUGUAGCGGUGAAAUGCGUAGAUAUUAGGAAGAACACCAGUGGCGAAGGCGACUUUCUGGACGAAAACUGACGCUGAGGCGCGAAAGCCAGGGGAGCGAACGGGAUUAGAAACCCCGGUAGUCC